Molecule: long non-coding RNA, 296 nt
Filed under: Brassica napus (rape)
Lineage: Eukaryota; Viridiplantae; Streptophyta; Magnoliopsida; Brassicales; Brassicaceae
Description: long non-coding RNA (BNAP_LNC011783)
Source: RNAcentral
GUUCACUAAACGGUAAAAGACUCUUAUGCCCUUGUUCUUUUUAUAUAUAAUAAAUAAAAAAAUCCAAAAAAAUAAAAAAUAAUUUUUUUACUUUUUCUCGAAUUAUACUAUUUCGAAAUUUAAACCCUAAACCCUAAAACUCAACUCUAAACCCUAAACCAUCAAUCCUAAACCCUUUUUUUUUUAAACAUGAACCCUAAACCCUGAAACAUGAACUCUAAACCCUAAACCCCGAGACAUCAACUCUAAGCCCUAAACCCUAAACCCUGAAACAUGAACUCUAAACCCUACACCCC